AACAAGAGAUAGCUCAAAAACCUAAUUACCCUUAAAAUUACUUAAUAAUUUAAAACAAAACAUUUAUACCAAUUAUAGUAUAGG
This 84-nucleotide ribosomal RNA is filed under the name Nycticeinops schlieffeni. Its description in RNAcentral is "partial 16S ribosomal RNA". Lineage: Eukaryota; Metazoa; Chordata; Mammalia; Chiroptera; Vespertilionidae. The record is from RNAcentral.